GGUGCGCUUAACACAUGCAAGUCGUGCGAUCGAACCAGACGGAUUUCCCUUCGGGGUCUGAGGGCUGGUCACGGAGCGGCGAACUGGUGAGUAACACGUAGCUAACCUACCUUCUUGACAGGAACAACCAUUCGAAAGGAUGGCUAAUGCCUGAUGUUGUGCGAGGUUGAUGACUUCGUUCCAAAGGCGGUCUUGCCGCCACAAGGAGAGGGGGCUGCGUCCUAUUAGCUUGUUGGUAGGGUAAUGGCCUACCAAGGCGAUAAUGGGUAGCUGGUCUGAGAGGAUGAUCAGCCACAUUGGGACUGAGAUACGGCCCAGACUCCUACGGGAGGCAGCAGUGGGGAAUAUUGGACAAUGGACGAAAGUCCGAUCCAGCGACACCGCGUGGGGGAUGAAGGCUUUCGGGUUGUAAACCCCUUUUCUGGAGGAAGAAUAAGGUUGGGAGGAAAUGCCCAUCCGAUGACGGUACUCCAGGAAUAAGCAUCGGCAAACUUCGUGCCAGCAGCCGCGGUAAGACGAAGGAUGCAAGCGUUAUCCGGAAUUACUGGGCGUAAAGGACGUCUAGGCGGUUGGAUAAGUCAUUUGUGAAAUCCCAGGGCUUAACCCUGGAAGGUCUUGUGAUACUGUCCGGCUUGGGUGUAGGAGAGGAGAGCGGAACUCACAGAGUAGCGGUGGAAUGCGUAGAUACUGUGAGGUACCCCGAUGGCGAAGGCAGCUCUCUGGCCUAUUACCGACGCUGAAGCGUGAAAGCGUGGGGAGCAAAGGGGAUUAGAUACCCCCGUAGUCCACGCCCCAAACGAUGUUCACUUGGUGUCGGGAGCCUAUAUAUCUCGGUGCCGGAGCUAACGCGUUAAGUGAACCGCCUGAGGAGUACGGCCGCAAGGCUAAAACUCAAGAGAAUUGACGGGUCCCCGCACAAGCGGUGGAGCACGUGGUUUAAUUCGAUGAUAAGCGAAGAACCUCACCUGGGCUUGACAUACUAGUGGUAAGAACCGGAAACGGUGAUGACCCUACCUUCGGGUAGGGAGCUAAUACAGGUGAUGCAUGGCUGUCGUCAGCUCGUGUCGUGGGAUGUAGGGUUAAGUCCCGAAACGAGCGCAACCCUUGUCACUAGUUGCCAGCGGAUAAUGCCGGGGACUCUAGUGAGACUGCUGGUGAAUAGCCGGAGGAAGGCGGGGAUGACGUCAAGUCAUCAUGUCCCUUAUGCCCAGGGCGACACACA
RNAcentral lists this ribosomal RNA (1222 nucleotides) under metagenome. RNAcentral describes it as "bacterial SSU rRNA". It matches the Rfam family "Bacterial small subunit ribosomal RNA", at positions 41 to 1222 of the family's 1533-position model. The record is from RNAcentral.